This 369-nucleotide ribosomal RNA is filed under the name uncultured bacterium. Its description in RNAcentral is "bacterial SSU rRNA". It matches the Rfam family "Bacterial small subunit ribosomal RNA", at positions 144 to 507 of the family's 1533-position model. The record is from RNAcentral.
UAACGUAGACGAAAGUUACGCUAAUACCGCAUAUUCUGUGAGCAGGAAAGCAGGGGAUCGCAAGACCUUGCGCUGAUUGAGCGGCCGAUAUCAGAUUAGCUAGUUGGUGAGGUAAAGGCUCACCAAGGCGACGAUCUGUAGCGGGUCUGAGAGGAUGAUCCGCCACACUGGAACUGAGACACGGUCCAGACUCCUACGGGAGGCAGCAGUGGGGAAUUUUGGACAAUGGGCGCAAGCCUGAUCCAGCCAUGCCGCGUGAGUGAAGAAGGCCUUCGGGUUGUAAAGCUCUUUCAGCCGGGAAGAAAACGCAUGGGUUAAUACCCUGUGUGGAUGACGGUACCGGAAUAAGAAGCACCGGCUAACUACGUG